AUUGAACGCUGGCGGCAUGCCUUACACAUGCAAGUCGAACGGCAGCACGGGUGCUUGCACCUGGUGGCGAGUGGCGAACGGGUGAGUAAUAUAUCGGAACGUACCUUAUUGUGGGGGAUAACGCAGCGAAAGCUGUGCUAAUACCGCAUAAUCCCUUAGGGGGAAAGCGGGGGACCGUAAGGCCUCGCGCAAUUAGAGCGGCCGAUACCUGAUUAGCUAGUUGGUGAGGUAAAGGCUCACCAAGGCGACGAUCAGUAGCUGGUCUGAGAGGACGAUCAGCCACACUGGGACGGAGACACGGCCCAGACUCCUACAGGAGGCAGCAGUGGGGAAUUUUGGACAAUGGGGGCAACCCUGAUCCAGCAAUGCCGCGUGAGUGAAGAAGGCCUUCGGGUUGUAAAGCUCUUUUGUCAGGGAAGAAACAGCAGCUCUAACACAGUAUGCGAAUGACGGUACCUGAAGAAUAAGCACCGGCUAACUACGUGCCAGCCGCCGCCGUAA
RNAcentral lists this ribosomal RNA (501 nucleotides) under uncultured bacterium. RNAcentral's name for it is "partial 16S ribosomal RNA". It matches the Rfam family "Bacterial small subunit ribosomal RNA", at positions 30 to 523 of the family's 1533-position model. The record is from RNAcentral.